AUUGAACGCUGGCGGAAUGCUUUACACAUGCAAGUCGAACGGCAGCACGGACUUCGGUCUGGUGGCGAGUGGCGAACGGGUGAGUAACGUAUCGGAACGUGCCCAGUCGUGGGGGAUAACGUAGUGAAAAUUACGCUAAUACCGCAUACGAUCUAUGGAUGAAAGCGGGGGAUCGCAAGACCUCGCGCGAUUGGAGCGGCCGAUAUCAGAUUAGGUAGUUGGUGGGGUAAAGGCCCACCAAGCCAACGAUCUGUAGCUGGUCUGAGCGGGACGACCAGCCACACUGGAACUGAGACACGGUCCAGACUCCUACGGGAGGCAGCAGUGGGGAAUUUUGGACAAUGGGCGAAAGCCUGAUCCAGCCAUUCCGCGUGCAGGAUGAAGGCCCUCGGGUUGUAAACUGCUUUUGUACAGAACGAAAAGGUUUCUACUAAUACUAGGAGCUCAUGACGGUACUGUAAGAAUAAGCACCGGCUAACUACGUGCCAGCCGCCGCCGUAA
This 501-nucleotide ribosomal RNA is filed under the name uncultured bacterium. RNAcentral describes it as "partial 16S ribosomal RNA". It matches the Rfam family "Bacterial small subunit ribosomal RNA", at positions 30 to 523 of the family's 1533-position model. The record is from RNAcentral.